This 500-nucleotide ribosomal RNA is filed under the name uncultured bacterium. Its description in RNAcentral is "partial 16S ribosomal RNA". It matches the Rfam family "Bacterial small subunit ribosomal RNA", at positions 30 to 523 of the family's 1533-position model. The record is from RNAcentral.
AUUGAACGCUGGCGGCAGGCCUAACACAUGCAAGUCGAGCGGAUGACGGGAGCUUGCUCCUUGAUUCAGCGGCGGACGGGUGAGUAAUGCCUAGGAAUCUGCCUGGUAGUGGGGGACAAAGUUUCGAAAGGAACGCUAAUACCGCAUACGUCCUACGGGCGAAAGCAGGGGACCUUCGGGCCUUGCGCUAUCAGAUGAGCCUAGGUCGGAUUAGCUAGUUGGUGGGGUAAUGGCUCAACAAGGCGACGAUCCGUAACUGGUCUGAGAGGAUGAUCAGUCACACUGGAACUGAGACCCGGGCCAGACUCCUACGGGAGGCAGCAGUGGGGAAGAUUGGACAAGGGGCGAAAGCCUGAUCCAGCCAUGCCGCGUGUGUGAAGAAGGUCUUCGGAUUGUAAAGCACUUUAAGUUGGGAGGAAUGGCAGUAAGUUAAUACCUUGCUGUUUUGACGUUACCGACAGAAUAAGCACCGGCCAACUCUGUGCCAGCAGCCGCCGUAA